GCGGAUGUAGCACAAUGGUAGUGCAUCUGCCUUCCAAGCAGACUACGAGGGUUCGAUUCCCUUCAUCCGCUCCA
Molecule: transfer RNA, 74 nt
Filed under: Clostridia bacterium
Lineage: Bacteria; Bacillati; Bacillota; Clostridia
Also listed under: 1 other name
Description: tRNA-Gly
Rfam family: tRNA
About the family: Transfer RNA (tRNA) molecules are approximately 80 nucleotides in length. Their secondary structure includes four short double-helical elements and three loops (D, anti-codon, and T loops). Further hydrogen bonds mediate the characteristic L-shaped molecular structure. tRNAs have two regions of fundamental functional importance: the anti-codon, which is responsible for specific mRNA codon recognition, and the 3' end, to which the tRNAs corresponding amino acid is attached (by aminoacyl-tRNA synthetases). tRNAs cope with the degeneracy of the genetic code in two manners: having more than one tRNA (with a specific anti-codon) for a particular amino acid; and 'wobble' base-pairing, i.e. permitting non-standard base-pairing at the 3rd anti-codon position.
Source: RNAcentral